AUGGCCGCUCGGCCGAGGCGGCGUUGUCACUCACUUUAUGCGAUGCUGUCGCAGGGUAACGUUUGUGAUGGCGCCAAGAAUUCAACUGAGGAACUCUCUUGUACAACUUCUAUGGAGUGGGACACGCAGGUGGUGAACGGGUCCUCGCCGCUUGGCCCCGCAGGCUUGGGGGCGGAGGAACAGCCAGGCAGACCGCAGCUGCCGUCGUGGCUGCAGCCCGAGAGGUGCGCCGUGUUCCAGUGUGCACAGUGCCACGCAGUACUCGCUGACUCUGUGCACCUCGCCUGGGACCUGUCGCCGUCCCUCGGGACCGUGGUAUUCUCCAGAGUCACAAACAACGUGGUUUUGGAAACUCCCUUCCUAGUUGGCAUUGAAGGUUCGCUCAAAGGCAGCAUUUACAACCUUUUAUUCUGUACUUCCUGUGGGAUUCCCAUUGGUUUCCAUUUGUAUUCUACCCAUGCUGCUCUGGCUGCCUUGAGAGGUCACUUCUGCCUUUCCAGUGACAAAAUGAUAUGCUAUCUCUUAAAAACAAAGGCCAUAGUAAAUGCAUCUGAGAUGGAUAUUCACAACUUAUCUCUACCAGAAAAGAUUGCAGAGGGCUACUUUUGAAGACCAUUGGCAGAAUAUCAAACAAAAGCAUUUGUUACCGGAAACAAAGGAAAAAAGUUAGAUUCUUGCCACUAGGAAAGGAAAGGAAGACUAGUUGAUGCUUCUCUCCCUGAAAGAGAAGAUAAUGUUAACUCAUACUCACUUAAAUUCACUGAUGAAGAUUCUGAAGGAAGUAACUCCUGACCAGCCCAAGCCAGAAAACUGAUCCAGAAUCAGAGUUUAAGUAUUAGGGUCGGUAAAUAAAUAAAUUAAUAAAUAAAUAUUUU
Acinonyx jubatus (cheetah) is the source of this 875-nucleotide RNA transcript. It is a transcript of the gene named Opa interacting protein 5, with no coding region annotated. The transcript has 6 exons. The record is from RefSeq and is a predicted model, not a curated record. NCBI's taxonomy places the organism in Eukaryota, Metazoa, Chordata, Mammalia, Carnivora, Felidae.